Molecule: ribosomal RNA, 389 nt
Filed under: uncultured bacterium
Lineage: Bacteria
Description: bacterial SSU rRNA
Rfam family: Bacterial small subunit ribosomal RNA
Source: RNAcentral
GAUUAACGCUGGCGGCGUGCAUGAAACAUGCAAGUCGAGCGCGGUACACAGCUUGCUGUGUAUCUAGCGGCGCACGGGUGAGUAACACGUGAGCAACCUACCUUUGAGUUCGGGAUAGCCCUGAGAAAUCAGGAUUAAUACCGGAUGUGGUUGCAGGGAGACAUCUCCUUGUAAGUAAAGGCGCAAGCCGCUCAAUGAUGGGCUCGCGGCUUAUUAGCUUGUUGGUGGGGUAAUGGCCUACCAAGGCGAUGAUGAGUAGCUGGUCUGAGAGGACGGUCAGCCACACUGGGACUGAGACACGGCCCAGACUCCUACGGGAGGCAGCAGUGGGGAAUUUUGGACAAUGGGGGAACCCUGAUCCAGCCAUGCCGCGUGCGGGAAGAAGGCCU